GAUGAACGCUGGCGGCGUGCCUAAUACAUGCAAGUCGAGCGAACGGACGAGAAGCUUGCUUCUCUGAUGUUAGCGGCGGACGGGUGAGUAACACGUGGAUAACCUACCUAUAAGACUGGGAUAACUUCGGGAAACCGGAGCUAAUACCGGAUAAUAUUUUGAACCGCAUGGUUCAAAAGUGAAAGACGGUCUUGCUGUCACUUAUAGAUGGAUCCGCGCUGCAUUAGCUAGUUGGUAAGGUAACGGCUUACCAAGGCAACGAUGCAUAGCCGACCUGAGAGGGUGAUCGCCCACCAUGAAACUAGGACCGGCCCCCAACCCCUAGGGGGGGCAGCAGAAGGGAAUUUUCCGAAAGGGGGAAAAGCCUGAAGGAGCACCGCGGCGGGAGUGAGGAAGUUCUUCGGAUCUUAAAACUUUUUUAUUGGGAAAAAAAAUAUGUGUAGAAAACUGUGCACAUUUUGAGGGGACAUAAUAAGAAGGCCACGGCUAACUAGGUC
This 497-nucleotide ribosomal RNA is filed under the name uncultured bacterium. RNAcentral's name for it is "partial 16S ribosomal RNA". It matches the Rfam family "Bacterial small subunit ribosomal RNA", at positions 28 to 507 of the family's 1533-position model. The record is from RNAcentral.